Molecule: ribosomal RNA, 614 nt
Filed under: Bacillus subtilis
Lineage: Bacteria; Bacillati; Bacillota; Bacilli; Caryophanales; Bacillaceae
Description: bacterial SSU rRNA
Rfam family: Bacterial small subunit ribosomal RNA
Source: RNAcentral
AAUGCAAGUCGAGCGGAAGAUGGGAGCUUGCUCCCUGAUGUUAGCGGCGGACGGGUGAGUAACACGUGGGUAACCUGCCUGUAAGACUGGGAUAACUCCGGGAAACCGGGGCUAAUACCGGAUGGUUGUUUGAACCGCAUGGUUCAAACAUAAAAGGUGGCUUCGGCUACCACUUACAGAUGGACCCGCGGCGCAUUAGCUAGUUGGUGAGGUAACGGCUCACCAAGGCGACGAUGCGUAGCCGACCUGAGAGGGUGAUCGGCCACACUGGGACUGAGACACGGCCCAGACUCCUACGGGAGGCAGCAGUAGGGAAUCUUCCGCAAUGGACGAAAGUCUGACGGAGCAACGCCGCGUGAGUGAUGAAGGUUUUCGGAUCGUAAAGCUCUGUUGUUAGGGAAGAACAAGUACCGUUCGAAUAGGGCGGUACCUUGACGGUACCUAAUCAGAAAGCCACGGCUAACUACGUGCCAUCAGCCGCGGUAAUACGUAGGUGGCAAGCGUUGUCCGGAAUUAUUGGGCGUAAAGGGCUCGCAGGCGGUUUCUUAAGUCUGAUGUGAAAGCCCCCGGCUCAACCGGGGACGGUCAUUGGAAACUGGGGAACUUGAUNGCAC